This 253-nucleotide ribosomal RNA is filed under the name uncultured bacterium. RNAcentral describes it as "partial 16S ribosomal RNA". It matches the Rfam family "Bacterial small subunit ribosomal RNA", at positions 524 to 776 of the family's 1533-position model. The record is from RNAcentral.
UACGAAGGGGGCUAGCGUUGCUCGGAAUUACUGGGCGUAAAGGGCGCGUAGGCGGAUAGUUUAGUCAGAGGUGAAAGCCCAGGGCUCAACCCUGGAAUUGCCUUUGAUACUGGCUAUCUUGAGUUCGGGAGAGGUGAGUGGAACUCCGAGUGUAGAGGUGAAAUUCGUAGAUAUUCGGAAGAACACCAGUGGCGAAGGCGACUCACUGGCCCGAUACUGACGCUGAGGCGCGAAAGCGUGGGGAGCGAACAGG